UAACACGUGGGGAACCUGCCCCUAAGUCUGGGAUACCAUUUGGAAACAGGUGCUAAUACCGGAUAAUAAAGCAGAUCGCAUGAUCAGCUUUUGAAAGGCGGCGUAAGCUGUCGCUAAGGGAUGGCCCCGCGGUGCAUUAGCUAGUUGGUAAGGUAACGGCUUACCAAGGCGACGAUGCAUAGCCGAGUUGAGAGACUGAUCGGCCACAUUGGGACUGAGAUACGGCCCAGACUCCUACGGGAGGCAGCAGUC
This 252-nucleotide ribosomal RNA is filed under the name uncultured Lactobacillus sp. RNAcentral describes it as "partial 16S ribosomal RNA". It matches the Rfam family "Bacterial small subunit ribosomal RNA", at positions 111 to 355 of the family's 1533-position model. Lineage: Bacteria; Bacillati; Bacillota; Bacilli; Lactobacillales; Lactobacillaceae. The record is from RNAcentral.